UUCUAUUUAAAGCUCUCAUAGGAUAACUUAAGUCAUUAUGAUCAUCAAAUGAACUAAUAUUCGAAUCAUUGGGUAAUUAAAUUCCUUUGUAAAAACAAUCAUAUACAAAUUAAUUUUUAUUGGGAAUUUUGUUAGAACUAAUAACAACAGCAUAAUCGAGCCUUUCUUCAAGGGAGAAAUUUGAAACUAUGCCCUAAACAUAUAACCAAUUACAUAAUAAAUAAAAGAACAAAUUACGUAAAAUAUAGGAAAUAAGUCUAUCUCCGGUGAAGAUAGAGUUCCCUCCAAAUGUGGUCGACCUUCGAACAAUAUUGUUGAAUAUGGGAAGAGAUAUGACUUGAAAGUUGAAGAAUUCAACCUAUAGAUACUUAAAAAAAAACCUCUUCAAGUUGUUAUAGAAAACAAUUGUUGGUU
RNAcentral lists this long non-coding RNA (414 nucleotides) under Glycine max (soybean). RNAcentral's name for it is "long non-coding RNA (GMAX_LNC003435)". The record is from RNAcentral. Lineage: Eukaryota; Viridiplantae; Streptophyta; Magnoliopsida; Fabales; Fabaceae.